UGUUACAGGUUGGACUGGAGAUGCCUGUGAUAUCCCUGACUGUCCUGGUGGCUGUGAGGGCAAUGGUUUCUGUAAUGGAACAGAUAGGGUUCUUCCUGAAUGUGCAUGCCUGGAGGGUUGGUACACAGAAGACUGUAGUAAACCCUGUGAGAAUGGCUGGGUGAAUGCUGACAACAGCUUUUGUAACUGUUUGGAUUGUUAUACUGGAGCAGGUUGUGAACUGGAAUGUUCUGGAAAUGGAAUCUGUGUUAAUUCAACAUGUGACUGUUUUACAACCGAACCAGGAAACAGCUGGGUGGGUGAACUAUGUGAGGAAACAGGUUGUCCUGGUGAGGAUGGAGCAUGUAACCAACAGGGAAGUUGUAACAGUGCCCUAGGUGUAUGUACAUGUUACCCAGGGUGGAGAGGAGAUGACUGUGCCACACCCAC
This is a long non-coding RNA of Mytilus trossulus (common blue mussel), 429 nucleotides long. RefSeq lists it as uncharacterized. NCBI's taxonomy places the organism in Eukaryota, Metazoa, Mollusca, Bivalvia, Mytilida, Mytilidae. The transcript is spliced from 3 exons. The record is from RefSeq and is a predicted model, not a curated record.